Molecule: long non-coding RNA, 474 nt
Organism: Nematolebias whitei (Rio pearlfish)
Lineage: Eukaryota; Metazoa; Chordata; Actinopteri; Cyprinodontiformes; Rivulidae
Exons: 3
Source: RefSeq, a predicted model, not a curated record
GGUGCCAGAAGCUCGUUUUCCUGCAUCUAUCGUCACUUUUGUGGAAAGCUACAAGCGUUUUCUGGAGGGCGGGUGCCCCAGCGCCAAACGCCGGGAGAACGUGGGGUCUGCUGUGAAUCGGGUCAGUUGUUUUCUCCAGCGUAUGGCGUCUGGUUGUAAUCAGCUGGGCACCUGGCUCUUCCUGGAUGACGUUGGGCGUAUUCAAAGUUGUGCGCACGAGCUGAUGUCGCAGGGGAGAACCGUCACCACUGCCUGCACUCAUCUCAAGAACGUGUACCAGUUCCUCGAGUAUUUUACAGAAACUCCUCCACCAUCAUGCAGGUUGUCAAGAGCCCAGCAAAUCGGUGUCUUGAGGGCAUUGAAGAACUGCAUUCGCCAGCUGCGUAAAGACGUGGUGCUUCACCAAAUAACAGUUAAAGAUGCCAAGGUGUCGCGCAUCAUUUCAGCACAGACCCUAACAAAGUGCCGGGACUU